This 492-nucleotide ribosomal RNA is filed under the name uncultured bacterium. RNAcentral's name for it is "partial 16S ribosomal RNA". It matches the Rfam family "Bacterial small subunit ribosomal RNA", at positions 28 to 507 of the family's 1533-position model. The record is from RNAcentral.
GGUGAACGCUGGCGGUAGGCCUAACACAUGCAAGUCGAACGGCAGCACAGUAAGAGCUUGCUCUUACGGGUGGCGAGUGGCGGACGGGUGAGGAAUACAUCGGAAUCUACUUUUUCGUGGGGGAUAACGUAGGGAAACUUACGCUAAUACCGCAUACGACCUACGGGUGAAAGCAGGGGAUCUUCGGACCUUGCGCGUUUGAUUGAGCCGAUGUCGGAUUAGCUAGUUGGCGGGGUAAAGGCCCACCAAGGCGACGAUCCGUAGCUGGUCUGAGAGGAUGAUCAGCCACACUGGAACUGAGACACGGUCCAGACUCCUACGGGAGGCAGCAGUGGGGAAUAUUGGACAAUGGGCGCAAGCCUGAUCCAGCCAUACCGCGUGGGUGAAGAAGGCCUUCGGGUUGUAAAGCCCUUUUGUUGGGAAAGAAAAGCAGCAGGUUAAUACCCCGCUGUUCUGACGGUACCCAAAGAAUAAGCACCGGCUAACUUCGUG